GCCUUGCUCUAUUGCUCGUUGGCACUGAGGGAAGCUCUCUGGGGAGAGGAGCCCACCAAUGCUUGGCUGACAAGACCUCAGUCAUGUCUGAUGUGGCUUCACCUUUGCUGCCGUCUUCGUAUCACUAGGGGAGCCCUGUGGAGUGGGGUGGAGUUCAAGAUGGAUUCUCAAGAAGUUAUAGGAAGCUCUUUAUCAAUUCAAUUCCUGAGAAGGGCCCACUUCAGGGAUGUUACAGUGCAGACAAAGAUUCUGGUGCCUCACAAGAUUUGACACAAGCCAGCGCUUUGUUGUUUUUCUCACCUGUUGGCCAGAAGAUUAUCUUGGAGCAGGAAAAGCCAAGUGGAAGAAGCCAAGUGAAGGGCUAUGGGGACCUAGAAGAUGGAGUCGUCACACAGUGGAAGAAUUGCAGAUCUCUGAGUCACCAUUUGGACAAGAACCUACUAGAACAGGUGCCUGAACAAGAACACUGGACUUUGUACAGGACCUGGACUAGCUUAGACGAAUGAGGCACUUGCCUCUG
Molecule: long non-coding RNA, 520 nt
Filed under: Homo sapiens (human)
Lineage: Eukaryota; Metazoa; Chordata; Mammalia; Primates; Hominidae
Description: long intergenic non-protein coding RNA 2763
Source: RNAcentral